This 724-nucleotide ribosomal RNA is filed under the name uncultured fungus. RNAcentral's name for it is "eukaryotic LSU rRNA". The stretch from base 265 to 418 matches the Rfam family "5.8S ribosomal RNA". The record is from RNAcentral. Lineage: Eukaryota; Fungi.
AAGUCGUAACAAGGUUUCCGUAGGUGAACCUGCGGAAGGAUCAUUACUGAAGUUGAUUUAUAGCUUUGAAAAAUCCCACAAGGACGCUUCAAAGUCUAUAUUUUUAUCUUUCAUCCUAUCCACUGUGAAUUUUUAUUCAACUAUAAAAUCGGACGGCAAACAUUGUUUUGCUGGUCGAGGACGAUCUUAACCGAUCGGACGAAUUACAACCAUUUUUAUAUGCACAAUGAAGAGAAUGCAAAGAUUAUUUAAAAAAUAAUAAAAAACUUUCAGUGACGGAUCUCUUGGCUCUCGCAUCGAUGAAGAACGCAGCAAACUGCGAUACGUAAUGUGAAUUGCGGAAAUCAGUGAAUCAUCGAAUCUUUGAACGCACCUUGCGCUUUGGGGCACUCCUCAAAGCAUGCCUGUUUGAGUGUCAUGUAACUUCUCAAAAACAUCAUGUUAUGCAAAUAAUAUUGAUUGUCUUUUGGAUCGUGGUUGCUGCUGUGUCUUUGGACUACAGCUCGACUGAAAUUGAAAUAGCAGCUCUGUACUUCUAAAAACAUGAGGUCAAAGGGUCUGUUGCAACUCAUCGGCGUGAUAAUUUGUUACGCAGAUGCUCUGUCUUGCUUCAGAAAAAAGCUCUUUGAUUUUAUUGGAUUUACUAUGGGUUUUAUGCUUCGAAAGUUUUGUUAACCAUUACAAAUUUCGACCUCAAAUCAGGUAGGACUACCCGCUGGACUUA